AAUCCACUAACUCUCAUUAAAUAAACCCCAUCCAUCAUUCAAUCCCAAGUAAACCAGCAAGAAAUCCGCAACUAUCUAUGGAAACCUUGUAUCUCUACCUUCCACUUUUCCUAGCAUUAUACAUCUUCACCAAGCACUUCCUCAACAAAAUCCGAAACCUUCCACCUAGUCCCAUCCUUAAUCUCCCCGUCCUCGGCCACCUCCUCCUCAUCAAGAAGCCUCUUCACCGAGGCCUAGCCAAGAUUUCCGACCGUCAUGGCCCGGUCCUCCUCCUGGAAUUCGGCUCACGCCCAGUCCUCCUUGUCUCCUCCGCUUCUGCAGCCGAAGAAUGCCUCAACAAGCACGACAUCGUUUUCGCCAACCGCCCGCGUCUGCUGGCUGGAAAACAUCUGGGAUACAAUUAUACCUCAAUGGCAUGGACGUCCUACGGGGAUCACUGGAGAAAUCUACGGCGGAUAGCUUCACUGGAGAUCUUGUCUUCCCACAGGCUUCAAACGCUUCACGGGAUACGUGUUGAUGAAGUAAAAUUGAUGCUGAAAAGGCUGUUUUCAGCUUCAGAAAACAAGAAAAGCGUGGAUAUGAGGGCCCUUUUCUUUGAGCUGAUGUUGAACGUGAUGAUGAGGAUGAUUGCUGGGAAGAGGUAUUAUGGGGAGAAUGUUGGGGAAGUUGAGGAGGCUAGGAGGUUUAGGGAGAUUGUAGAGGAGACGAUGAUAAUUGGUGGAGCUUCGAAUAUGGGAGAUUUCUGGCCGGUUUUGAGGUGGUUAAAAGUGGGAAAGAAGGAGAAGGCCUUGAGGGUUUUGCAGGAGAAUAGGGAUCAAUUCGUGCAGGAGUUGAUCAAGGGGUUUAGGAGUGCAAAAGAUGCAGAAAAUGGUGGCGGCGAUGCAGAGGAAACAGGGGAAAAGAAGAAAACGUUGAUUGAAGUUUUGUUGACCCUGCAACAGAAGGAGCCUGAGUAUUACAAGGAUGAAAUCAUUAGAAGCCUUAUGCUGGUAUGGUUACUCUGAUAAAUUUCUUUCUGGCUCUUCUUCUUCUUAUUAAUGUAGCUAAUUUGUUAUCAUUUCUAUGUUCCCUAGAAAAUGUCAAACUUCGAUUAAGGACAAAUUAAUAGAAAUUGAAAGUAAUUCGAAGAUUAAGUGACUAAAUCUAGAUGGCCAAAAUUUGCUUUCUUUGAGUAUAAAAUAUAAGCUUACUUCAGUUGUCGUACAGUAAUUCGAUUGCUUCCAUUAUUGUGCAAAGUUAUGAUGAAUAAGAAAAAUUCACUGGUACAGUUCAAGAAUAGAGUUGACCGCACGGUGUGAACAGGAGUAGAUCCCAACGUAUUGGGCGGGGGGCCCACUUUUCUUCGGUGUUGGCAUUUGACAGUGAAGCAGAAAGAAAGUAUGAUGUCUAGCCAACCGAUGUCUAAAGUUGGUUGACUAGAUUUUAGAAGCAAAUGUCACUGAUCAUGCUCUUCAUUCUACCGUUUACCACUUUCUUCUUCUUUUCUCAAGUGCAUUUCACCAUUGACCGCUUUCGUAUUGCAGGUUUUACUAGCAGCAGGUACCGAUACAUCAGUGGGAACAAUGGAGUGGGCAUUGUCACUAAUGCUAAACAAUCCAUCAACUUUGGAGAAGGCAAAAGCAGAAAUUGACAGAAUCAUAGGAAAAGAACGUUUAUUAGAUGAAUCAGAUGUGGCUAAUCUACCCUAUCUCCGGUGCAUAAUUAGUGAAACAUUGAGGAUGUUUCCAGCAGGGCCUAUAAUGCUACCCCACGAAUCCUCCGAGGAAUGUGUGGUUGGGGGUUACCGUGUGCCUGGGGGGACAAUGUUGAUUGUCAAUUUGUGGGCUAUCCAAAAUGAUUCCAAGAAUUGGGAGGAUCCAAGAAAAUUCAAGCCUGAAAGAUUUGAAGGGCUUGAAGGGACCAGAGAUGGCUACAAAUUAAUGCCAUUUGGUUCUGGUAGAAGAGGUUGUCCUGGGGAGGGAUUGGCCAUGCGCAUGGUUGGAUUUGCUUUGGGAUCAAUUAUUCAGUGCUUUGAUUGGAGCAGAAUCAGUGAGGAGAUGGUAGAUUUGGCUGAGGGGCCUGGACUGACUCUGCCUAAGGCUCAACACUUAGUCGCCAAUUGUCGAGCACGACCUGGAAUCAUGAGCCUUCUUUCUCAAAUUUAGACUGCGACGAGGAUGUAUCUUGACUCUUGAGAAAGGGUGGGCAGUAUUUGCCUCGUCUCUUCUUCUUGUUUGAAGAAAAAAUAUGUACUAGUAAAAAAAAAAAAGUCUUGUUUUAUAUAUUUCACUUGUUUCUUUAAGGGAAAAAAUGACGGAGUAAUUUACUUUAUAGUAGUUGCUAUUUGAUGACGCUAAUUUUUGAAUUUCCUUGUUUUAAGUUGGAAUUUUCACAGCACAAUAAUUAUACCUUGCAACUCCUAACUGAAAACAACUCAAACCAUAUAUUUAUUCAUUCUCCUAAUGUCCACACUAAGCAAUAUCUUAGUUGGCAACUUCUUGAUCCGAAAGUUUUCUUUAGUGUUGAUAAUCAAUGAGAGAUAAAAAAAAAUGAGUAUCUAAAAAUAUAAAGGUCUAUCUAUUUGGACAACCGUUCUUAAGACAUAUUUCAGAUAAAAAAAUACAAGAUUAAUUAGAAUAAAUAAAUAUAAAGAGGGGCAGGAAAGAUUAAAUAGACAAACAUAUAUAAGUACAAGGAAGGAUAAUAAUUGUAGUAAAUGUGUGUGUAUAUAUAUAUAUAUAAUAAAUUAGAUAAAUUUUAAAUGUAUUAACGAGUGUCUAGUAAACACCCGAAAAAAUCCAAAAUAUGACGAUUUUUUUCCGUAAGAAAACUCGAAUAUGAGACGUCUCAGUUGCACUUCGUCCCUAGAAACGCCCAACCAAUAUCCCUUCCCUUCUAAAGGCCGCUGCCGCUAGUGCUGAUGACCAGGGCAUGGUCGAUAUGAAAUCAGCCUUCUUCGAACUCACACUGAACAUUAUGAUUAGGAUGAUUGCUGGAAAACGGUAUUCUGGUGAUGGCUCAGGAAAAAUAGGGGGAGUCGCGAGCUUUCAAGAGAUGGUUAAAGAGAGUGUUAAAGUCAGCGGAUCAACAAAUGCUGCAGAUUUUGUUCCGCUACUGAGGUGGAUAGGGCAAAAUAAGCUUGAAAGUCAUCUGAAAACGUUGCAGAUGAAGAGGGAAAAGUUCCUACAAGAUUUGAUUGAAAAGCACGGAAGCAUCACCAGUCAUCGUGAGAACAAGACACUGAUUGAUGUUCUCUUAUCUCACCCAGAGACAGAACCAGAGUACCAUACGGAUCAAAUCAUCAGAGGCUUGGUUCAGGUGAGUCAAGUUUUAAGGAGAAUAGUAGAUCGGUCCCUCGAAAGUGCCAACAUUCCAUAAAAUCAAGUAUAUUAACAACCUAAGAGAAUCCACCUCAAGCGCUAGCUAGCUGUCAUACUUGAAGGGUAGGAUCAUAAGUUCAUAGCAUUAACUUCCCUGCUUUUUCAGCUUUUAACAAUCAGUCAAGAUAACUCAAAAGCAUGUAUCAUGUGUUAUCCGGUAUUGAUAGAGAUAAUAAAUCAAAUUUCGUCUAAUCUUAAUAGCUGAUAAUGUUAUCGGCGGGAAGUGACGCAACAUCUGGAACUAUGGAAUGGGCACUGUCAGUUCUGCGGAACAACCCAGAGGCUUUAAAGAAAGCACAAGAAGAAAUAGACUUUCAAAUAGGCCAAUCAAGGCUGAUAACUGACUCCGACCUUGGCCAGCUUCCUUACCUUCAAGCAAUAAUAAACGAAACCUUUCGUAUGUAUCCUGUGUCCCCUUUUAUCUCCCUGCAUGAAUCAUCCGAAGAAUGUACAGUUGAAGGCUUUGGUAUCCCUCGUGGGACAUUGCUCCUAGUGAACCUUUGGGCUAUUAAUUAUGAUCCUGAAAUAUGGGAAGAACCCACAAAAUUCAAACCUGAAAGGUUCAUGAACUUGGAAGAUCAGAGAUAGAGAUUCGAGUUUAUGCCAUUCGGGCUUGGCCGAAGAGGAUGUCCUGGAGAAAAUUUUGCUCGACGAGUUGUGGGGUUGGCAUUGGGUUCACUUAUUCAAUGCUUUGAGUGGGAAAGACCUGGGGAAGAAUUGGUGGACAUGAGUGAAGGAGCUGGGCAUACUAUGCCUAGAGCUCAACCGCUGCUGGCAAAGUAUAGGCCACCCCCUGAAAUGGUUAAGCUUCUUUGAGUUGUGAUCUGAGUGUUUGACAAUGUUUUCUUCCUACAACACCUAGACGACUGUGGAGAAACAAGUGAACAAGAAAACAGAGGAUGUCUCUCUGUACGUGUUUGUUUUAACUUUUAAUACUACUAUUUUAUCUCUUUCAACUUCGCUUUGUGUUGCUGCAAGAAAGUAUAAAAAAGCAAAGGGUUUACUCUAGUUUCUUGCUUUCUCCAAAGAUCCAGCAUUUUCAUGUGUGUUUCUAUUAUUUGUUAACCAAUGGUUCAGAAUUCAAUCGACGGAGAAGCAAAAUUUUGCCAAGCAUGAGAAAUUCCCAAAAUUCUGAUCAAAUUUAAAUUAUUUGUAAGAUGCUUUUGGUUGCAUGUUGUACUUUAGAGGGUCCUCACGUUCUGUAAUUUAGAGCUUUCUUGCAUUCUAUAACUGCGAGGUAAGGUAAGCAAAAUUUAAAUUGCCCCCAGGGCAUAUGGCGUAGCGGUUGAGGGGUCGGUCUUGAGUUGUUGACUUCUUCACUGAUUGGGGUUCGAUUUGUACCCGCUACGCUGCACAUCCUGACUCACCCGGGAAAACUGUAUGGAGCUAUCGGCUUCCCUCCAAUUUGGUAUGCCGGCUCGGGUCCAAAGGGUUCGGAUCGGGGCAUGUUCCGAAUUACCAAAAAAAAACUUAAAUUUUGAUCAAGUUUAUCUGCUUUGGAAAAACCCCAUUCAACAGGAGGUUGCCCACUGCAAAAAAGCACCCCUAUUGUACAAUUUUUCAAACAUCAUCAAAAUCUUGUUUUUGAGGUUUCAAAGCCGCUAAAUUGAACAUUAGCUCUGAAUCGGAUAAUUAUGUUCAAUGGUGAUGUUUUGCUGAUAAUUACUCUUUAGUUAGUCCAGUGCGCAUGUACGCAUAGUCCAUUCGAUGCCCGUGGGAAACAGGUGUUACAAGGUCCAUGCAUUUUUCAACCAAAGAUAAGUCAAAGAGCGAAUUGCGCGAAAUGUCACUAAACUAUUUCAAAGUGCCGGUUCUGAUCAUUAAACUUUUUUAUUAGCGCGAAAUGUCACUGAACUAGUAAAUCUAUACCGUUUUGGUCACUCCGUGUAUUUGUGCCGUUAGGAGAGACGGAAAUUAACUUUUUGAGGGGUAAUUUCGUCUACACAAUAGUUAAAAAAUUUAUGCCUUCAUUCUUCUUCACCCACAACCAUAGUGCUAUACCAUAUUUACAUUCCCAGCCUUCCCGUACGCAUCAAUCAUCACAGAAUAGGUAACCUCAUCCGGUUCACACCCAAAAGACGGCAUUUUUUCGAACCACUGGACGGCUUUCUCAGGUAAAGAAGACAGCCUGGCGCAGCUAAUUAUGGUGGAAAGGAGGAGUAUUGGACCAGCAAUCAAAGAAUCAAGAGAUGAAUUCGCUGAAGAAGGGUUCUUUUCGUCCUCUGGGGCUGCUGCUUGGCCUUGUACCUGUCCCAUAUCUCAUCGAGAUUGGAUGCUACGGAGAUGAAGUAAGAGGAAAAGGCAACAGCAGCAACCAAAAAAUUGGGAUGGACGAGAAUUUUGAAGUUGGAGUUGGGGUUGGGUGCUAUCUGCAACCCAUGUAAAGUUGUGGAGUGAUUUGCGAUUAAUCUGUUAAAUGUUAUUGUGCCAACUGCCAACAGAAUUGGAAUGGACAUCAAAGUCCAGUGUAGGCCGACGACGGACGGAGCUCUCUAUGCCCACCCACUUCUGCAACAAAACCACCGAACUUUACAUUUAAUUUCUCAUUCUUUUCACUCUUUCCGCAUCGUCAUUUUCGCCACUCCCAACCCCAGAGGUAUGUAAAGGUGACAUUAUCGGGCUUAACUCCUCUCUCAAUCAUAUCCGUAAACAAUUUCUCGGCUCUGUCCAAGUCUCUACAUUUUCUAAACACCUUGAAGGUAACAUUAUACAAAAUCACUUCUUUCUUCAACUUAAGCCUUUCCAGAAAGUAACUCAGCACCAAAGGCGCAGUUUCAGAGUUGGACAUGUUAUUGAGCACAACGGCAGCAUCUUGCUCUACAACUUUGCCACCCAAAUUAGCCAAAAUACUAAUAACGUCAGCUUCUACAGGGUCACACGAGUCCAAUUGUUGGGAAGCUUGGACUAAAGAAGCAUACCUGAAAUCGUAGGAAUUGCGCCUGAGCUUUGAUGCCCUGGAGCUGUUGGGGUUGACCCAGAUAUAGCUUUUUGAGGAAGAAGAGAUGGUUUUAGCAUCUGGGCGGUGAGGAAUUUGGGAAAUUGAGGGGGAUUGUUGUUGGGAAGCCGGUAUAGAGAGGGAAGGUUUUGGAUGGGGCUUGAGAGGAGGAAAAGCGAGGGCGUUAUGGGGGAUGAUUCUGAGUUGGUGGAGGUGAGUGGGAUAAAGAGAGUUACAGAAGAGGUGUGGGUGGCGAGAGAGAUGAGACGGCGAAUAGGCGGCGGCCACCAUUCUUCUCUCUACUCUUCUUCCUUCCUUCUCAGUCGUCACUCACUCAGCAGAGCAGUCAGCAGCAUUUGAAUUUUCUUCUUUUUUACAACUAUGAAAAAUUUCGCCUGCAUUUUUUGGUUGAAGUUUGAUGGUGCCGCCAUUCAGAUCAGCCAUCUCCUUUAUGUCUUUGCCGGAUACGGAACCAUUGAUUAUGUAAAAGCUUCAAGAAAAAGGCUGUGCUGACAAAUUUGCCCCUCAAAAAGUUGAUUUCCGUCUCUCCUAACGGCACAAAUACACGGAGUGACUAAAACGGUAUAGAUUUACUAGUUCAGUGACAUUUCGCGCUAAUAAAAAAGUUUAGUGACCAGAACCGGCACUUUGAAAUAGCUUAGUGACAUUUCGCGCAAUUCGCUCUAAGUCAAAAAAAUAUUUGUCUGCGGAGCGGAACUCCAUUUUCAUAUAAAAAAAAAUGCUGAAAGUCGCCAUAUCUGUUUCAGUACUACCACUCUACCAGUUCCAUCUGACAGCUCACGACCGCAAGGGGGGGAAAAAAGACAAAUAAAAACAAGGAUCUAUGUCAAUCGCAUGUUAUAUGAAAUCUUAACACAAGAUUUAAGAUUGCAAGAUAUCAGCUGAUACAAGGUGGCCUAAGCUGAAGGCGUCUUGCUCCCUAGAAGCUAUAUCACUGAAACAGCAGGGAAUUGUUUAGAAUAUUACAUUGGAUAAGCAUUUUUUUUUUUUUUUGGUAAAUAAAGAUGCAUUAAAAAUAAAUCAAGUCAACAGAGUGCAAAUUAAGGUACAGUCAUCCGUGGGGUGGAAACCCCCUUUAAGUCUUGCAAAAGUAAGGGAAGUACAAAAUUAGGACAUAAUUCAAAAAAAGUGAAGUCUUGAGUGUUGCUUCUUCCCCAGUUGGCAAGGAUGUCUGCACAUUUGUUUGCUUCUCUAUAAUUAUGGUGAAAACAUACUUUCUGGAAUGUAGUCAAUAGCUCCCUGCAAUCAAGAAUAAUAGGUGCAAGUUCAUGAGAAAUAAGAUUAUUUGACUUACACAAGGAGAAUAUAAAGGCAGAGUCCAUCUCCACUUCGAGAGAGUGGAUGUUGAGUUUUUUUGCAAGUUGUAAGCCUUCUCUAAGAGCCCAACAUUCAGCAGAAGGAACUGAACAGAAGCCUAAAUUUCUUGCAAAGCCCGCAAUCCAUAUCCCAUUUGAGUCACGAAUAAUGCCGCCAGCUCCUGCCUGGUUUGUUGGUCCAGAGACUGAACCAUCAGUGUUGAGCUUGGCGAAACCUAUAGCAGGGGGGAUCCAUCUGAUGAAUUUUUCUUGUCUAGGGGAUCUGGAGAAGUGAGAACCAGGCCCUAGUAGGCUUCUGUUCCAGAUGCACGCCUCCGAGCAAGGAUGUAAAUGAAUCUAACCAAACUGAACACCCUAGUAUUCAAGUUUAUUUGAUUAUUUUAACAAGUUUGUAAUUUUAUUCAAAUUUAAUUUAUUUAUUUAUCGAACCAAGUUUGUUUGAUUAUUUUACCGAAUUUGAACGAGCUAUUUAUUGAAGAGUGUGUUUGGAUAGGAGAUUAUUUGAAAUAUUAUUUAGAAUAAUUACUGUAGCACUUUUUGUAAUGUAAUGUAUGUAAAAUAAAAAGAUGAUUGAGAAGAUAAAAAGAUGUGUUGGAAAUUGUAUUUGUGAUGUAAGCAAAUAAUUUCUAGCCAUUAUUUGGCUAUCCAAACACACUGAAUAUAAAACGAUAUUCAAUCUUAAUUUGACUAGUUAGCAAAUCAAACUCGAAUGAACUCAAACCAAACUGAACUCGAUUCAAAUAUCAAGUAGAUUGAUUUAUCUUUCAACAUUUCGGAGUUGUUAUCCAUGUGUUUGAGAAUGUCAUCCUCCUGUAUUGUGUUUUGGUUUUUCAAGUCCCGAACGAUGUUUUUUUGUUGCAGCAAAGGAGGAAAGUUUUAGAGAGCUUAGGAUAUUACAAUAAAAUAGCAGUCAGGAGUAGCGAAGGAGGAAACAUAUGAUUCAGCCGAAAGGGGAACGAAAAGAAGAAGAAGAAGAAGAAGAAGAAGAGGAGAAGUUAUGGUUUUAAUUUAUUUGAAGAAUUGCCAUAUAUAUAUAUAUAUAUAUAUAUAUGUAUUUUAGGUAAAAGAAGAUUAUAUACUAGUAGUAGUUUGGAAAAAUAAGGAAUGCGAUCAUAAUAAGUAAAUGCAAAAAAGUUUGCCGUAAACUCCUUUGAGUGUUUGUAGUUGUCAAAGCUCUUUGUCAGGCUGCCCCCAGUGGUUCGAAAAUGUGCUGAGGACCUCUUUUGAACUAAUUUGUUACAUGGAUGGAAACCAUACGCACACCAAAAGAUUAGAAAUUUUCAUGCUAUCCCUUGUUUCUACAUUUAAUAAUAAUAAUAAAAAAAAGUGGAUGAGGCGUUGAUCUACAAAGUUGAGGUUUUAGAAUUUGGAGAUCUUGAAUUCAAUACUUAUCAAAGUGUGAGUCUCUAAACUUUGUGUUAGUAUUUAUCCCACCAUAUGUAUGUAGAUUAGUUGUAGUUCGAAAUAUUUGUAAUCUCUUAUAUUAGUCCUAUAGUUGUAGAUUAUACACGAUAUUAUCGAAGAAAAUAUUUAAAGAAGAAAAAAAAUGCAAUCUUAGUGCCCGAUAUGUAAAAUUGGUAACCACGAAACAAAUCUUGAUGAAUCCACGAAAUUCACCAUGAUCCCAAUAUAUGGGAAGAACCCACGAAAUUUAAGCCUGAAACGUUUGGGGGAUUCGUGUUUAUGGCAUUUGGGUAUGGUCAAAGAGCAUGUCUUGGUGAAAAUUUAGCUAGACAAGUUGUGAGGUUGGCAUUGGGCUCACUCAUUCAAUGCCUUAAUUGGGAAAGAAUUGGUGGAAAUGAGCGAAGGAGCUGGGUUUACUAUGCCAAGAGUUCAACCGCUGCUGGCAAAGUACAGGCCGCGCCCAGAAAUGGCUUCUUUCUGAGUUGUGAUCCUGGUGUUUUGGGAAUGUUCUUUGCCACCUGCACCACUGGGGAAUCGACUGUACGAGGAAAACAGAGGAUUUCCCACUGUAGUGCGUGCGUACCACGUUGGCUUACCACUACUUUUUAUAUUUUACCUUCACUUGGUCCAUAAUUUUUGCAGCUCAAGGAUGUGAAAAAGUCCGUGCCGUCCUGAUUCCAUUGUAAUGUAAGCUGGUCAAAGCUACAAGCCGGUUAUAUACGACGCUACUCCAAGAAAGGAGAAAAAUAUAAGCAAAGCAAGGAGGCCGUAAAGGAUGGAUAUCAGUAGCAGAUCAUUGACAGAUAAGAUACUAAUAUUCAAGAAUGAGAGGGCCGUAUCCCUUACGUCAAAGGAGUUUUGAAUCUUGAUUACUGAUACAUUCUUGAAAUAACAAUAAUGAAUUACUAGAUAAAAUAGGCAUACGGCAUAAGUAUCAUUCCAACACUUUGGAUUUAACCUCGAUCUCUAUGGAUGCUUCAUACUGCUACCUCCUGCUUUUUCCCUUCCUGUAUUUACUUACCAAUCAAAUCAUCAAAAAGUUCCGGAAUCUCCCACCAAGUCCACCUCUUUCCUUACCCAUAAUUGGCCAUCUUCAUCUCAUCCAGAAACCACUCCACCGAGGACUAGCUAAGAUCUCCGAUAAAUAUGGUCCAAUACAGUUUCUUCAUUUUGGUUCUCGGCCUGUCCUGCUUGUAUCUUCACCCUCAGCUGCAGAAGAAUGCUUCACCAAGAAUGACAUAAUCUUCGCUAAUCGGCCAAGAUUUCUCGCCGGAAAACACCUUGGCUACAACUAUACAACUCUGGGAUGGGUCUCAUAUGGCCAACACUGGCGCAACUUGAGAAGAAUAGCUACUGUGGAGAUCUUAUCUGCUACCCGAAUUCAAGCUUACACGAGCAUCCGUGUUAACGAGGUCCAUUCAUUGAUCAAGUACCUUCUAAUGGCCUCUAAAGCUAGUGACUCUAGCACGGUUGAGAUGAAAUCGGCCUUCUUUGGGCUGACACUUAACAUCAUGAUGAGGAUGAUUGCAGGAAAGCGAUACUACGGCGAUGAUGCCCAGAACAAGGAGGAAGCCGCAAGGUUCAAAGAGAUAGUUAAAGAGACUUUUCAACUCAGUGGGGCGACAAACAUAGCAGAUUAUAUUCCAUUAUUGAAGUUUUUUGGGCAACAGAAGCUUGAAAGCAAGCUGAAGACUUUGCAGGCGAAGAGGGAUCAAUUCUUGCAAGAUUUGAUUGAAGAACACAGAAGAACCGUGAGGAGUUCCGACAGUGAGAAGGGCAACAAAACAAUGAUAGACGUUCUCUUGUCCCUCCAACAGACCGAGUCCGAAUACUACACAGAUGAGAUCGUCAAAGGUAUGAUUGUGGUAAGUAACUAUUUAAUCCUCUCGAUAUCUUAAUCCAUCCGUCUGUUAAGCAUACAGAAAUUCUGAUCUUUGUCUGGGAUCAGUCCCAUGAAGGAUUGAGUCUGAAAAUCUAAGUCAAAGCUAGUUUGAUUGCACUAGUACCAUCUCCGUGUUGCCUUGCAUUUUUUAUUGAGCUGUAAUGCUAUGUUUCCUACACGUAACAAUUCUAGGGAUAAUUUCAGAAACCUCCCCUGAGAUUUCUAACAGUUUCACUGCCCUUCUCCGAGGUUUCUAAAAUAUCAGAAACCUCCCCUACUAGGUCAUUGGGGUCCAAUUGUCACAUCAAUCAUGGAAGAAUGACUUAAUUACCCAUACAACUUAAGAGGUAUUUCCCAAUUAUGUUCACAUGAUUAGUUAAACUGUUAUUAACUAGAUUUAACAGAAAUGAUGACAAUUUAUAAGUUUUUUUAAAAAAUUUCUAACAUGCCAUUACAAAAAGGGGGCCAUAUAUAGGCACCUUUCUAUGAUUGAUAAUUGAUGUAUGCGAGUAGAAGCAAUGAUUCAAACUUUAGUGUUUUUUGUGGAAUAAGAGAAAUAGAGCUUCUUUAGGUAUAUCUAAGGAUUUAGGAGAUUUGAAAAGGAGAUUUGCUCUUAAAUUUUUUUCAAAAUUUUGGUGAUUGUGAAAAUUUCAAGAUCAGCCUCUAAGAUUUUUCUGCUAUUAAAUUUUGGAAAUUUUUAUUAUUUGAUUGCAGUUGUUAAGGUAAUUCUUGAUGGUGAUGCUUAAUAGUGACCCUACAAGUGAAAAAGAAUAGUUUGGAUCAAACAAAAAAAGGAAAAUAUGAUUUUAUGUAGUUUGUAUUAUGUUCGGUAUGAUCUGCUCCAUUUGAUGAUUGGUAUUUAAUUAUAGUGUUUUUUCUUUUUUAUCCUAAUUAUUACUUUUAUUGUCAUCGAAAUUAGGUGCUGGUUUUGUAUGAAAUAUACGUAAAGAUUGUUGGUUGUAUGCUACUAAAUUGAAAAACCUUUUAAUUAUGACAAUUUUUUUCUUGUUUGUGAUUAUUCAACAAAUGUUUUUUUUUAAAUCGAAAUGUUGGUUGUAAUAGGAUUCACAUGCUUUGUUUCUCUUGUAGGAGAUUAUGCAAUUGAUGUGUUAUAAUAGAUGUAAUAGUAUGAUAUUACACAUGCAAUAUGUAGAUAAGAUUUUGAGUUGCUAAACUUGUUGUAGAGUUAGUAAAUUGAUAUUUUGUUUACGCUCUAUGAAUACGGUAACAAUUACACCGUCUCAAAUUUGAUAAAGUUAAAAUAGAUAUAUAUUGUUCGUAGGAAAUUAACUAUCUAAUGCAAAACUUGAGGGUAGUUAUGGAAUUUGACAGGUGCCGAACUUGUGCAAUAAUAAUUACUAAAAAGUCCUAAUUACCAUCACAAUUAAUUAUAGAACGAAUUCAAGUACUGGAGCAGGACCCUAGGUGAGCAAUGGGUUACUUGAUUCACCAUGUUCCCAAAGAGUUUGCUUGAUCCGAUAUACCAGAAUUGUCUAUAAAAAUACUAAGUUUGCAUACAAUGGCAAGUAGGGUCGAUUCCACAAGGAACGGGUAGGAAGUUGUUUCCUUCCAAGUCAAUAGAAUAAAAAAGAGGGACAAUUAAUGGGAUGAAACUAAAAAUAAAAUAAAUAAAAUUCAAGAGCUAACUCAACAACAAUUUAGUAAAAAUAGCAAUUAAUAAAAUUCUACCCAAAUGAUUAACUGCUCAGGCACGGUCCAAUUAAAUGAUCAUCGAUGCAAAGAUAUUUCAUUCAUCUGUCAUUAGGUUGGUUAUAGCUAUCAACAAGCUUUGACAACCAGUUCUUCCUUACUUUUUCGACAGUCAAGGUACGACCAUUGACUGUUUCUCUAACCAGAAAACAACUCUAGGUACGACCGUAAGAAUUUAAUUAUCCAAUUGGAUUAAAACUAGAAGAACCCAACCCUGAUCAAUAAGCACGCUAAGAGGGUUUAUUUAAAUCAGAUCUUACGUUUCUCCAACAUAAAGCCAAUUAUGGUGGUUGUUACUAGUUGUCAACUAAACGAAUAAUUACGGAUUCAAUUUAAUUAACGUGGCAGUAGGCUAUUAUGUUAAAUCAAAUACCCGACCGUUGAUAUCCAAUUAAUAAAAUACUCAUGAACAAUUAAUUCAGGAAACGUACGAAUAGCAAUAAGUUGGAAGAAAUAAUGAAAAUUCGAUUAGAUGUUACAGAUAUUAUGAACCGUGCUUUCGCGUCGACCUUCGGGUAGAGGAGAAAUCUAGCCGCUCCUUAUCAUAUCCAUCUCGCGUGAUUUAAUUGAAACCAUUCAAUUAAUUCCCGAAAAAUUGGGAAAGAUGAAACAACGAGGAAAACGAAUAAAAGGGCUUAAGUAUCUCUUGGUCUCUGUGUUUGUACUGGAGCAAGAAAGUAAAAGUAAAGCACUAGAGAAAGUCGGCUGCCAAAAGACAAGAGCCAAGCCGCCCGUAAGAAAUUGUCUAAUAGGAAGAGACAAAAGCUACAACUAUGAAGGUCGCGUGAUUCUGGCUUCUUAAUUGCUGCCGAAGAGAAAAAAAGGAAAAGAAAACGUCUGACACUAAAAAGCAAAAGCUAAUCUAAUUACAAAGACGUAAAUCUGGCUUUUUUCCUCUCUUUUGUAGCGGCGCCAGGAGAAAUCCACGAAAGGUCAGGAGCAAAGCUUUUCUUUUUGGGGUUUUAAUCCCAUGCCUCUCGUGGUUCACGUGGACCCAACCUCCUAAUUGCUCACUUUUUGCUGCCACCAAGCUCGCGGGUCCGGCUUUAGAUAUAUCUCCUCACUUUCUGGCGUGGCACGUCAUGAAACAAAGAGUCUUUUGGAAAUUUUUCUCGCGCGAUCACUUUUAACACCAAUCACCUACAAUUGAUACAAAUAUGAAAUAUGAGCAAAUUCUCAAUUCUUAGCAUCAUGAGUAGCCAAAAUUAGGACAGAAUAAUAGUGCAAAAUAUGCCCAAUAAUUGCUCUAUCAGAAUUAAAUUGUUUUCUCUCUUCUAAUACCAAUUUUAUAUUAUUUUUGUAUUUGAAUUGGGCUGAUUGUUACUAGCUAAUUAGCUUUAGGGGUGGUUUCCGAUAUUUUGAAAACCUCAGUGAGAUUGUCAAAAACCUCAGGGGAGGUUUCUGAAAUUAUCCCAUAAUUCUAUCUACGUCUAAUACUAUUUAUACUAAGAGGGUUGCUCACGAUAAAUGUUCUAACAUUAUCAUACACCUCCUCUUAUCCCUUCAUUUGUAUUUCUAUCUUAUUUACAGAAUCAAGAUAAUAGUAUAAAAAAUUCAAUCCCAUUGUACUAUUGAAUCAUGACGUGCAGGAAAAAAGGAAGAAGUAAAGAUAAAACGAAUGAGUAGCACAGUAUUCACCUUUAAUCCAUGCUUUAGACUAGCAGAAAAUAAUGCAAAUUUUGUCAACAGCAAAUGUUAUCAGCGGGAACCGACACAUCAUCCGGAACAAUGGAAUGGGCACUCUCCCUGCUGCUCAACAAUCCACAAGUUCUAAAGAAAGCCCAGCAAGAAAUUGACGCGUACGCUGGCCAAUCAAGGCUUAUCAAUGACUCGGACUUGGGUCAGCUGCCUUAUCUUCAUGCAAUUAUUAGUGAAACACUUCGCAUUUGCCCGGUGGCCCCUAUUCUGGUGCCUCAUGUGUCAUCCCAAGAGUGUUGUGUUGGAGGCUACAAUAUCCCCGGUGGCACGUUGCUGUUAGUGAACUUAUGGGCAAUGCAAAAUGAUCCCAAGGUUUGGGAAGAACCCACAAAAUUUAGGCCUGAGAGGUUUAUAAGUUUGGAAGGGCAAAGAGAUGGAUUUGUGUUCAUGCCAUUUGGGUUUGGCCGAAGGGGAUGUCCUGGCGAAAAUUUGGCCAUGAGCGUUGUGGGGUUGACAUUGGGGUUGCUUAUUCAAUGUUUUGAGUGGGAAAGAGUUGGGGAAGAGUUGGUGGAUAUGACUGAAGGGGCAGGGCUUACCAUGCCAAGGGCUAAAGAAUUGAUGGCCAAGUGUAAACCACGGCAAGAAAUGGUCAAACUUCUUUCUCAAUCGUGAUUGGGAUUUCAGAAGUUGGUACCUCUAAGAAAAAAACCCAUCGCAGUGAUGACAACAUUGUGAACAAAGUGUGCUUGUUUUGCCAUUAUUUUUGUGAUUCUAUACCUUCUUGUAUGUGGAAUAAAGGAUUUGAUUAAAAGUUUAAAAUACGGUUAGAGACACCUUAUUUUAAUUUAGUACGUUUUAUUGUAGGAAUAGAUGCAUAUGCAUACCUUUUUAUUUUGAUAGGUGAAAAUAAAACAACAAAAAAAAGACUUACAAAUAUGUUAGAUCUUCAAUGUUCAUGAAUAAAACUCUCUCUCUUUUUUUUUCACUUUUACUUCCUUUUGGAAAAGAAUUAAAACUCUUCUUUUUUUUUUUUACAGUUUUUUAUUUGUUCAUGAUGUGGGAGGUCUAUGUUCAUUUGAAAUCAAGAGCUCACCCCAACUUUUGUAGAAACUAGAGGGGAAGUUAGUGUAGUUUACCAACAAGAUACGUGUCUACUUACUUGAAUAACCAGUAAUAAGAUUUAAGGAAGAAAAACUUGGGCUACUCCAGUUAGCAAUGCCCAAGUAUCAAAAAAUGAAGAGCCCAAAUUCAUGUGAAAAUGUAUACAUGUUCUUGGUUAAUUUCACAAUAAACUUGUAAUCCUUUUUUUUGGCAAUUCAAAUUAAAUUCCAUUUUGCCUUUGGAUAUAACCAAGAGUUAUGUCCCUUUUAAUGAAUCUAGUAUAUUUUGGAGGGCUUUACUACUUCAAAUUUUUUUUUAAAAAUUUUAUCAGUAGUAAUCAUGAAAAAUAAAUCAUUUUCAACUAUGUAGUACUGAAAGAAACAUGCGACAGAAAAGAGUGGCAUCUCCAUAUAUUUUCUGAGCGUCAAAAUAAAAUUAUAAACUUUCUACCACUAACUCUUUUAUCUAAACCAUGCAAUUUUGCGUGCAUCAAAAUAGCGUAAUUAUUCAGUUUUCGUGUAAGGAAAUGAAAAUCUUAGGACUUGCUAGGAAAAACAUGGCGGUCUGGCUUCAGUGAAAUAUUUUUGCUAGAAAAUGUCGACUAACUUACCUACCUUUUAAUUCUUAUACUCUUUUCGUCCCAUUGAAAGUGUUAUACUUUUAUUUUAGAAUGUCUCAAAAUAUUUGUUCUGUUAAUAAAGUCAAAAUAUAUUUUAGUCUCUCUCUUCAACAUAGUUCAUCUCUCUAAUCAUAUACACGUUACCAUUCAAAUUCAAAUGUUGAAUUUGUAGGAAUAAAAUUGAAAAGAGAAGCACAAACAUCACAAUCAAACCACUAUUUUUAAAAAGUUUGAUUUUUGAAACAGAACCAAAUAAUUAGGACGGAAGGAGUAUAAACUAAAAUGAAAAAGGAAGUCUAGUGAUAAUUGAACCGUCAAAUAUCAUAAACCUUUUCAUAAAAUUGCUGGCUGAUCAGUAUAGCAAGUAGAUGAUGAUGCUUGUGUAGUUGCUAUCAUCCUUAGGUAUGAAAUUUUUCAUGAAGACCCCUUAGUAAUAAGUUUCUGAAUAGCUUCCCACAAAAGUUUCCGGGAGGUAAAUUAACAAUCUUUUGCAUUACUUUGGCCCCGGAGACAUGACAAUAAUAUCUUAGACGAAAGAACUUAGCCCCGACAAAUAUCAUGAACUUAUUGACAAUAGGUGGCUUAAUUUGUAAGAAAUAAAAAAUUAUUUAAAAAUAAGAAAAAAAAAUUAUUUAACGAAAUGCAAGUAACAUCUUGAACGAUUUUUCCUUAUUAACUCACAAAGUUAAGUUCCACUGUGGUACUUGCCAAUGGAACAAAGUUGACAGCAAAUCUUGUUGGUUGAAUGAGUCUCCUGACACAGCGUAUUAAGCAAUAAGCAUUCAUUGGUAUACCCAAACCUAUUACUCUGUAUAAGUGUACGUAUCAUAUUCACCCGUACCGUACGUCUCUUUCUACAUUUAGACACUCCCAUAUUUCUAUAUUAAUUUCACUUUUGCUAAAGGAUUACUGGGUAAAGUGUAAAGCACGGCAAGAAAUGGUUAAACUUCUUUCUCAAUUGUGAUUUGUGGGACUGUUUAACUGUCAAAAUUAAUGUGAAAACGUAUGAGAAAGUAGAAUCCUCGAAAUCCUUUAUUUUUUCAAAAUUUAGUUUUUUAAAUACUAAAAAUUUUUAAAAAUACUCUAAAAAGUAAUCUAAAUUUUUUUAAUGUUUAAAAAAUAUUCCAAAAUAUAUUUUAAAAACUCUACUACUCUUAAAUAUUUCAAAAUAUUUUCUAAAAAUAUUUCAAAAUAUACUCUAAAAACUCUGCUACAGUAAAGUUUUCAAAAAAUAUCUCAAAAAACAGCUAAUCCAAACGGAGUAAUUGAUAAACCCUAAGACAUUUAGAUGGUGAAGAAAAAGUAAAAUUAACACCACUCUUUUAACUGUUGGAAUACUUUCAAGGUACUAAAUUAUACCUUCUUAGUACCACUCGAAAGAAAGAAAAACAAGCCUUGGAAAGAAAUAGUAUCUAGAAUAAAUCUACUGCACAAUUUGGGAAUUAUUCAUCAUUCGAUCAAGUGAUGAAUAAAUCAUACGCAAGUUCAUGUAUUAGCAGAUUAAUUAUUGAAUCUAUUCAUAAAUCAGAGGAUUGCGACACAAGGAAACUUGCAGAAUUGGACAACUAUAUGGUCCCGAAGAAAAGAAAUUGACUUGCUUCAAGAUUUCCACAAACUUGGAGCGGGGGGCGAGUGGUGACGGACGACUAAGGAACUCAAGAAAGUUAAAAUAGCCAAUUACGCAAAGUUUUGGAUCCAUUAGUUGAUUGACUGACUUCUAUUGCUAGCCGGUCAAUGCCCCCUUUUAUAAAUCAACAAGAACUUUUCCAUGGAAAAUGUGUCUCUCAUUUUGGCCAAAAUUUCCGAAUCAAUACCUUCAGUCUCCGGUCAAAUGAAGUCGUAACUUGAUAAGCUUACAAGACUUUCGUUUUCCUUCUAGAAAAAAAAAAAGAAUAAAAUAAUUCCCUUGCCCUUCAACAACCUCAACAAUAAGGUUCACUAUGAGAGAAAUUUUUUUUCCAUCUAACACACUUACGUUACUCCUAAUUCAUUGCAUAAAUACGUACAAUCACAGUUAUUGAACUUAGUAUAUUUUAGUAAUUUUUUAAAUUAAUUAUCUUAUUUUUAAAAAAUUAAUACCUGAGACUCUUAUUAACGAGUGUCGACUGAAUACCUGAUAUCAAACCGAUCGAUGCUGUAGAUAGAGAAUGGUUGUUUGCAUGGAAACCAAAUCUUUUUUUUUUUUUUUUUAUUUGCUCCUUCCCCUCUUAUACAACCACCAUAUGUAGAAAGUUGAGUUCUUGGAAUCCUCCAGUGACACAGGUAUGCUGGUAAGCAAAGCACUUGAAUAUCUUCCAGAAGAAAGAUAUGUCGCGCAGCCUUAAUUGACGAAGUAAUCUCGUCAACUUUUUUUUUAAAAAUUUUGUACUGUAUAGAAAUUCCCCGGAGUUGGAGGGGCAGUUGCUUCUAAUCAAAAUAUGCUUCACACUUCACGCCACACGCACACGGUUAGGACCAGAAGUCUCAUAUGCCCUUUUCGGUGCAUUUCGUCUAAAUUCUUUUGUAGCGUGAGAAUUUAUUUAUUUAUUUAUUUUUUAAAAAUGGCUACCUAUUUUUAUUGCUUAAUUAACGAUGCUUUCGGUGCGUUUGAGUUUUCAAGAAAAUGAAUUUGAAGAGUAACAAACAUUAAGAUUAUUUGAAAUAUAUUAUUUUUUUUAAAAAUACUGUAUGAGAUAAAAAGUUGAUGCACUGACAGUAUAUACACUUUUAUCAUUAUUAGAUGCAUGACACAUAAUUUGAAUUUAAAUUUGAAACUCAAAUUUUGCAUAUGUGUCGUAUAUCCAACCGUAAUAGUGUAUACAUCGUUAGUAUACAUAAGAUUUACUCUUUGAAGUUUUAAUCUAUCCUUUGGUUUCCCAUUCUCGUGACAAAAGCACAGCUGCGCGAAUCAGUAAAAUUGGACGUAGUAAUUUGCUGUAAUGUGCAAAACCGAACUUACCUCCAUUUAGGGUUCUUGUCUAUAGAUUGACCAUGUGGUUCGGCAACACUUUUAGUGCAAAAAUUUUCAGCAUGCAACAGUCGUCCAUAGCUUAAGUGAGUUAGGCGCAGCACAUUGUUUGGCCCCGUUCCAUAUGACUUCAUUUCGUUGCCAACUUUUCUUGGAGGACUGGAAUCUCAUUAAAUAGAUCCAGCACGAUUGGUCCACGACAAUUAUUUGGUUCUGCUUUGCUGUCGUGAACUUGUGCAUUGAUUCUGUGCUUUAAUUUCUCUUGAUUUGUAGAAAAUUUGCUAGUUUUUAACUGCAAGAUUUUGUUACUCCGAAGAUUUUUAAUUUUUAUGCAGGAAAAAAAAACGCACUUCCAAACUCUGGGUACAAUAUUUGAAAAAAAAAAAGGGUAGAUGACAGGUAAGCUAAGUAGUGGUUUAGUGCCACUAUUGAAAUGUAAAAACCUCCAACCCUACACUUUUCCGACCCAUGCACCGCUCCCCGUGCCCGAACCCAAGAAGAUUUGUACAAGAAAACAGAAAAACUUUGGUGGGGUCUUGCUCGCACUAAUUUGUCACGAUUAAAUGUAUUCUUGUUUAAAAAAUUCAUGCAGAUGUGUAGUGCAUUCGUCUGAUCUGGUGGUGAUUUAAUCCUCUUCGAAUUAUUCUUGAACCUCUUCAGGUCCUAUUCCUCCUCCAUACUAUAGGAAGUUAUCGUAUCGAAAAAAAAAAAACAGAAAAAUCUCAACUCAUUAGCCUUAUUUAAUUUGAUUUGAAGCAUAAUUUUCUUGAAGAAGAGGGGCCGGGCCACACUGAUUGUAUUAGAGCAUCCACAAUGCUAUUACACUUUGUGGAGUGUAAUCCACAUGCCACGUCAGCAUUCCACUUUCUCCUCUUUUAUUACACUUUCACUCACAAUGGAUUACACUCCACAAGGUGUAAUAGCAUGGGUCCACAAUUAAUCAAAUAUUUAUUUUAAUAAUGCAUAACUCAUAUCCCAUAAAUAAAUAAAGUAAUUUUUAAAACUAAUUUUGUUAUUUUUAAAAAAUAAAGUACUAACUUUCGUUAAAUUUUGUACAUUUUGAAUUUUUUUAUUUUCUAAAAAUGAUAUUAUUAAUUUUUAAGUUUGAAUAAUAUAUCUUUUUCUAUGUUUCAAAAAUAAUAUAUUGUUAUUUUUUAAAAAAUAAUUAUGUAGGAAAUUAAACAAAUAUUUGAUACUUCAAAUGCGAAGAUAUCAUAAUAAUUCAUACUUAAUUAAUAAUUCGGAAUGUAAUUAGUUGAACUCCAUAACAUAAUAUUACAUAAGUUAAAUCAAAUAAAAUACAAAUAAUAACAAAAUGAAUACUAAUUUUCAUUGUCAUUGCCUUCGAAUCGUUCCCAAAUAUGCUCGACCAAGUCUGAUCGAAGUUGAUCGAAGUCUGAUCCCAAAUAUGCUUUGUGCUGGAAUUUUAUCGUUGUCAUAGGGCCCACAUUCAAUGGAUUACACGCAUCAUACAUGUGAUGCGUGUAAUCUCCAUGACACGGCUCCAGCGGUGUAAUGGCUCCCCGUUACUGAUUACACCCCCAUUGGAGCUGCCCUUAUGUAUAGUAUAGCUCGUAAUGGUUUUAAUCUACUCAUAACAAAUUCACUCUCCCAAACUCAAAAGUCAUCUUUGUAUAUAGAAUUUAGCCAACGAUUAUAAUUGCACAUUUUAAUAGGAAGUUUCAUAGGCUGGCUGUCAAUUGCAACCUUACAAGAAAACGAGAUGAAGACCACUCAGAGUCACAAGUCCAACAAUAAAUCCACUAACUCUCAUUAAUUAAACCCCAUCCAUCAUUCAAUCCCAAAUAAACCAGCAAGAAAUCCGCAACUAUCCAUGGAAGCCUUGUGUCUCUACCUUCCACUUUUCCUAGCAUUAUACAUCUUCACCAAGCACUUCCUCAACAAAAUCCGAAACCUUCCACCUAGUCCCAUCCUUAAUCUCCCCGUCCUCGGCCACCUCCUCCUCAUCAAGAAGCCUCUUCACCGAGGCCUAGCCAAGAUUUCCAACCGUCAUGGC
RNAcentral lists this long non-coding RNA (20949 nucleotides) under Coffea arabica (coffee). RNAcentral describes it as "long non-coding RNA (CARA_LNC006727)". Lineage: Eukaryota; Viridiplantae; Streptophyta; Magnoliopsida; Gentianales; Rubiaceae. The record is from RNAcentral.